RNAcentral lists this transfer RNA (77 nucleotides) under Alkalicoccobacillus murimartini. Its description in RNAcentral is "tRNA-Arg". It matches the Rfam family "tRNA". From Rfam's summary of the family: Transfer RNA (tRNA) molecules are approximately 80 nucleotides in length. The record is from RNAcentral. Lineage: Bacteria; Bacillati; Bacillota; Bacilli; Caryophanales; Bacillaceae.
GCGCCCGUAGCUCAACUGGAUAGAGUACUUGACUACGAAUCAAGCGGUUAGAGGUUCGACUCCUCUCGGGCGCGCCA